RNAcentral lists this long non-coding RNA (336 nucleotides) under Vulpes vulpes (red fox). RNAcentral's name for it is "lncRNA (ENSVVUG00000027748.1)". The record is from RNAcentral. Lineage: Eukaryota; Metazoa; Chordata; Mammalia; Carnivora; Canidae.
UGAUUUUAUAAUUGUCUCAAAUACCCACUUUAUUCCACUGCGUGAAUGCCCAUAAAAAUCUGCAGUGUAGAUCGGCGGGGGUUUCUUGAUGGAGCUACUGAAGUUACCAUUUACAGAUGCCUCCCAGCAGCCUUAAUGACUGUUGCCAAGAAAAUGCUCAGCCAUCCCCCAAUAGCAGCCACAGGGCAAAGCCAGAAAGGCUCUCCUAUACUUCUUCCUUCCUCUUACCCUACAAAUAUGCUAACAUGAUAUGAAGAUAAAGGAAAAGAGAACAUCUUGACCCCUCUCUCUCAAACUCUCUGACCUAAAGGUUAAAGAGGUGAUUCUUAGUUUUAU